UACGUAGGGGGCAAGCGUUGUCCGGAUUUAUUGGGCGUAAAGAGCUCGUAGGCGGCUUGUUGCGUCGGCUAUGAAACCCCGGGGCUCAACCCCGGGUCUGCAGUCGAUACGGGCAGGCUAGAGUCCGGCAGGGGAGACUGGAAUUCCUGGUGUAGCGGUGAAAUGCGCAGAUAUCAGGAGGAACACCGGUGGCGAAGGCGGGUCUCUGGGCCGGAACUGACGCUAAGGAGCGAAAGCGUGGGGAGCGAACAGG
Molecule: ribosomal RNA, 253 nt
Filed under: uncultured bacterium
Lineage: Bacteria
Description: partial 16S ribosomal RNA
Rfam family: Bacterial small subunit ribosomal RNA
Source: RNAcentral